RNAcentral lists this transfer RNA (72 nucleotides) under Planctomycetaceae bacterium. RNAcentral describes it as "tRNA-Thr". It matches the Rfam family "tRNA". From Rfam's summary of the family: Transfer RNA (tRNA) molecules are approximately 80 nucleotides in length. Their secondary structure includes four short double-helical elements and three loops (D, anti-codon, and T loops). Further hydrogen bonds mediate the characteristic L-shaped molecular structure. tRNAs have two regions of fundamental functional importance: the anti-codon, which is responsible for specific mRNA codon recognition, and the 3' end, to which the tRNAs corresponding amino acid is attached (by aminoacyl-tRNA synthetases). tRNAs cope with the degeneracy of the genetic code in two manners: having more than one tRNA (with a specific anti-codon) for a particular amino acid; and 'wobble' base-pairing, i.e. permitting non-standard base-pairing at the 3rd anti-codon position. The record is from RNAcentral. Lineage: Bacteria; Pseudomonadati; Planctomycetota; Planctomycetia; Planctomycetales; Planctomycetaceae.
GCCGACCUAGCUCAACGGUAGAGCACGGCUUUCGUAAAGCCGAGGUUAAGGGUUCAAAUCCCUUGGUCGGCU